Molecule: long non-coding RNA, 1727 nt
Organism: Puntigrus tetrazona (Sumatra barb)
Lineage: Eukaryota; Metazoa; Chordata; Actinopteri; Cypriniformes; Cyprinidae
Exons: 3
Source: RefSeq, a predicted model, not a curated record
GGAACGUCUCGGCAAAAGACAUGUUAAAAUAAGCUGCUGUCAACAAGCCGCUUUCAUGUUUGAAAAGAGUCCGUGCAGGGGGCUGUCAUGAACCCACCUGAAGGGGCCCCGGCCUCAGCGUGAGGUAUUACGUAAGGCAGCUCUGCUUCUGUUUCCUGGUUUCCGAGCGCAUCCUUCAGAGGAGCCAAUGAGAGCGAGCUACAGCAGAUCACACACACCCACAGCGUGCUCGAGGACACACACACUGGACGCACGGAGUGAUCCGGAAAAACUGCUCAAGACACAAAAAGAAGAGGAAGGAAACAUCUUCACCCAGCGCUCUGCCGUGGUUUUGGUAAAGGAGUCUUUAACAGUAAGUGAACUCGGGAUGAACAGAUGUAGAGGGGAUCCACUUCAUUCUGACAGACGCCGCUAACAGGGAGGAACUUUGCCACUACAUGUCAACUAGCAGUCAUCAGAAUACGAGUAGGAUGUCUCGAAGAAAGGAGCCUCCUCGUGCCAGGAGAGGAGCAGGUUCUGUAGCUGUCCGUUCAGGUUAGGGCACAGAAAGGACGUCUUAGCAAGGGUUAAACUUGCUAUCUCAAGAUCUGGUUUUCUAACCAGGAAGCACCUCCUUAUGUGAUCCCCAACAGAGCUGUCUGCAGACCUCAAAUGGGAAUGUGGAAACUUUGAGAUUGACUCAUAAGGAACUUCUUUGGAAGCCUUUUAUGAAAUUCUGAAUAUAGAUUUAACUUUGCUUUCCCGAGCUUUCAUGUUUAUGUUUGACAGCAGGCUGUGUUGAGAUCUCUCGACUAUCAUAUGCUCAUCGGUGUUACAAGUAACGUGUUGAAGCGCCGCAGAUGUCCCCUCUGGAGCAGCGCGCACACCACGGCCUGACGCUCCUCAGCUGCUGCCUUCCUGCGACAUCAUCUCACAUCUCGCCGAGCGCUUCAGGAUCACUCGUUCAGGGAGAGGAUGAUGUCGUCUUCCAGGUCCGAGUUAUCAGAGCUGUCUGCUAGAGGAAGAACACGACAGCGUGUCACAGAAGGAAAAAAAAGAAAGCGGCAAAAAGAGCACGCGAGGAAUCAAACGUGAAGGGGGAGGACGUCAGAAACGGACGCGGCCGACAGCAAACAGCUGCUGAUGCUGUACAAACCGUCACCGUCGGAGACCGGGAUUAGAAUCGAUUUGAAUCCGUGUCUGUUAUCACCUGCUAGAGGCCAAGACUGAAGAAACGACGAACUGAAUCUCAACAGGAGCCAAAGAUACGGCAUAUUUGUUUCAGCCACAUUGUUUUAUAAAUGUACUCGCAGGAUGUUUUUAACCACCAGCAACGACGCUAGGUUUUUCUGUUUGGGUCACGUGUAGCUUUUUUUGUAUUUUGUACUUUGGUUAUUAAGGACUGCAAACGGCCAAAACCUGCAUUUUGUUCAUCUCAAUUUUUUUGCCAGCCACAAAUAUUUAAUCUCGGCAGUGAAACCCUAGACGUUCAGCUUUAAUUUGCUUCUAGGCAUCAAUCUCCCUUUCUCCCUCUCCAUUAGUUUACUGUAUUAAUCUGCCUUUACCAUUUUCAUUCGCAUUUUCAAUUUUUUUGCAGUUCUUUCUUUCGAUAGAUUGCACGUUCAGAUAUUCAUGAAAUCGAUCAAAAAUGGGGCAAGAGUUAUAAUGCUGGUAGACCGGAAACACUCAGUUGUGUCAUUUAAACAAACCUUUAAAUAAAAUUUAAAAAGACAUGCCUGAGAAAGCAA